GGCAGGAUAGCCGAGUGGUUUGGACGCCAGAUUCGGGCCUUGGUGAACCGGCUCACGUGGGUUCGAACCUACUUCUGCCG
This is a non-coding RNA of Thozetella sp. PMI_491, 80 nucleotides long. Lineage: Eukaryota; Fungi; Ascomycota; Sordariomycetes; Chaetosphaeriales; Chaetosphaeriaceae. The record is from the annotation of a GenBank genome assembly.